UGGGGAAUAUUGCACAAUGGGCGCAAGCCUGAUGCAGCCAUGCCGCGUGUGUGAAGAAGGCCUUCGGGUUGUAAAGCACUUUCAGCGGGGAGGAAGGCGAUAAGGUUAAUAACCUUGUCGAUUGACGUUACCCGCAGAAGAAGCACCGGCUAACUCCGUGCCAGCAGCCGCGGUAAUACGGAGGGUGCAAGCGUUAAUCGGAAUUACUGGGCGUAAAGCGCACGCAGGCGGUCUGUCAAGUCGGAUGUGAAAUCCCCGGGCUUAACCUGGGAACUGCAUUCGAAACUGGCAGGCUAGAGUCUUGUAGAGGGGGGUAGAAUUCCAGGUGUAGCGGUGAAAUGCGGAGAGAUCUGGAGGAAUACCGGUGGCGAAGGCGGCCCCCUGGACAAAGACUGACGCUCAGGUGCGAAAGCGUGGGGAGCAAACAGG
RNAcentral lists this ribosomal RNA (429 nucleotides) under Chloroflexota bacterium. RNAcentral describes it as "Chloroflexi bacterium partial 16S ribosomal RNA". It matches the Rfam family "Bacterial small subunit ribosomal RNA", at positions 355 to 776 of the family's 1533-position model. The record is from RNAcentral. Lineage: Bacteria; Bacillati; Chloroflexota.